Molecule: ribosomal RNA, 448 nt
Filed under: uncultured bacterium
Lineage: Bacteria
Description: bacterial SSU rRNA
Rfam family: Bacterial small subunit ribosomal RNA
Source: RNAcentral
CCCAGACUCCUACGGGAGGCAGCAGUGGGGAAUAUUGGACAAUGGGGGGAACCCUGAUCCAGCGACGCCGCGUGAGUGAAGAAGUAUUUCGGUAUGUAAAGCUCUCUCAGCAGGGAAGAAAGAAAUGACGGUACCUGACUAAGAAGCCCCGGCUAACUACGUGCCAGCAGCCGCGGUAAUACGUAGGGGGCAAGCGUUAUCCGGAUUUACUGGGUGUAAAGGGGGCGCAGACGGCAGCGCAAGCCAGGAGUGAAAGCCCGGGGCCCAACCCCGGGACUGCUCUUGGAACUGCGCGGCUGGAGUGCAGGAGGGGCAGGCGGAAUUCCUGGUGUAGCGGUGAAAUGCGUAGAUAUCAGGAGGAACACCGGUGGCGAAGGCGGCCUGCUGGACUGCGACUGACGUUGAGGCCCGAAAGCGUGGGGAGCAAACAGGAUUAGAUACCCCUGUA